CAAAUGGCAGCAAAGAAAAAGCAGCCUAAAGUUUAAAACUAUCCACGGUAAACUCUUUCCCUACAGGAGCAAACACAACGGAUCAACCCAUUCAAGCAAAGCCAGGUCCCUCCCCUGCCUUGCAUUUCCCAGGUACUGGCUAAGCCUCGGGCGGCUUCAAGGAAAGUUUAAAUUCCUUAGACUCAAGGGACGACAAAGUCACCAGUGAGAAGUGAGCUGAGCGCGGGGCGCUGGGACACCCGGGCCAUCUAAGUUCUCCGGGACGCGGCACCCAGGAACUUGGGGCGCCCCACGCCAGUCCCCUUGCGCCCCCAACCCGACCCAGAAAAAAAAGAGAAGAGAAGAGAAGAGAAGAGAAGAGAAGAGAAGAGAAGAGAAGAGAAGAGAAGAAAGAAGCACUGACCUAUUAAAAAGGAAGAAAACUGGCUUGUGCUGGAUGGCGCGUCCCCUGAGGUUUGGACACAUCGACUACAGAACACAGAAGAGCAGAGAGCCAGGAAACCCAGGAGUAAGCACAGCUGGAGUCUGUAAAGUUCUCCCUUCUUUGAUUCAGAGAGAAACAAGUAAGCAGUUGCCCUACUGCUCCAGCUGUUCGUUUCUGUUGUCUGGAAUGUAUAAUAAAC
This 623-nucleotide long non-coding RNA is filed under the name Cricetulus griseus (Chinese hamster). Its description in RNAcentral is "lncRNA (ENSCGRG00015027262.2)". Lineage: Eukaryota; Metazoa; Chordata; Mammalia; Rodentia; Cricetidae. The record is from RNAcentral.